CCAACUGCAUCAAAUUCCUGCCACUCCGAUUUUCCUGUGAUGAUGAACUAUGCACUCUGGAAUUGUAAACACUUUUAAUAUCUCCCCAUAAGGAGGCAUGGACUUUGGCAACAGUGCGAGGCAGCAGAAUGGAGAAAUCCAGAGAAAGAGACCGUAGAGCAUCAACCCUGCAUUCAGAGGUCCUGCAUCGACAUUACAGGAUGACACCAGCAUUUUGGACCAGAAACCUGAGCGUUUGCCCAGAGUCUACUUCCUCAAGUUCUUAUCUAAGAUCUACAGUAAGAUUGAGCUUGCUCACUCUCUUUGAAGUUCAAUGUGGCAAUGUGGCUGGAGUGGCCAAGGAUAUAAACAAAAGCAAAACAGAUGAACAAUUCCUUAGGUUCAUCCCCUCAUCCACCAUAACCUGACACGUCCCAAAGAAGUUAGUUGUCUCCGCUUGAUACCCAGAUUGAGAACAAGAUAAGCUGCAAUCUCCUGUAUUGGAUAGUUUUAUGCCAGUUUGACACAAACUAAAGUCAUUUUGGAAGAAGGAACUUCAGUGGAUAAAAUGUUUCCACCAGA
Mastomys coucha (southern multimammate mouse) is the source of this 561-nucleotide long non-coding RNA. RefSeq lists it as uncharacterized. The record is from RefSeq and is a predicted model, not a curated record. NCBI's taxonomy places the organism in Eukaryota, Metazoa, Chordata, Mammalia, Rodentia, Muridae. The transcript has 3 exons.